ACACUUUUAUCUUUAGACAGUAGGAGGACCGUACAUACAUGAUGUAAUGUGCCUUUGUUUGUAUUUCAGUGUUUUCCGCCUCUUGCAGCAUUGUCCACAAUGAUAGCUCUCCUACAAUAGUUGUUGCAAAUGAAAAUGGAGGAUAUGUCUCUGUCAGGCCUGGAAAACACCAAGCUAGAGGCCUUGGCUCAUGACGUUUACUCUGACCUAGUGGAAGAUGCCUGUUUAGGGCUGUGCUUUGAGGUGCACAGGGCGGUCAAACAGGGCUACUUCUUCCUGGAUGAAACGGACCAAGAAAGUAUGAAGGAUUUUGAAAUAGUGGACCAGCCUGGUGUGGACAUCUUUGGGCAGGUGUACAACCAGUGGAAGAAUAAGGAGUGUGUGUGUCCCAACUGCAGCCGGAGUAUUGCAGCCUCUCGCUUUGCUCCUCAUCUGGAGAAGUGUCUCGGCAUGGGCCGCAACAGCAGCCGAAUAGCCAACCGCAGAAUAGCCAGCAGCAACAACACAAGCAAGUCAGAAAGCGACCAGGAAGACAAUGAUGAUAUCAAUGACAAUGACUGGUCCUAUGGUUCAGAAAAGAAAGCCAAGAAAAGAAAGUCAGAAAAGAAUCCAAACUCUCCCAGGAGAUCCAAAUCCCUGAAGCACAAGAAUGGAGAGCUCAGCAGUAAUGUCAAUCCAGACCUGUAUAAGUAUAACUACAGCUCUGGCAUCAGUUAUGAGACUUUGGGACCUGAGGAGCUGCGCUCUAUACUGACUACACAAUGUGGGGUCGUAUCAGAGCACACAAAGAAGAUGUGUACUCGGUCCCAGCGAUGUCCCCAGCACACGGACGAACAGAGGAGGGCAGUCAGGGUCUUCCUCCUUGGGCCGUCCGCGUCAGUGCUACCUGACUCUGAUACAAUGCUGGAAAAUGAUGGCUAUGAUGCCCCUGAUGGCCAGCUCAUCAUGUCUCGCCUCCAGUGGGAUGGCUCCUCUGAUAUCUCACCAUCAGACUCAGCAUCUUCAAAAGCCAGCACCAAUAACUCCGAAUCUAAGAGACCUAAGAAAAAGAAGAAGCCCAGCACACUGACUCUGACUACCACUGGAAGUGGAGGAGAGCGGGACAAAGGGCAGGAACGAGAGCGAGGAGACCGAGAAAGAGUAGUAGGCGGCGGGAGCAGUAGCAGCAGCUCCCAGAAUGCACUGGGCCUGUCCAGUCGGAAAAAGCGACCAAAACUGCCAGUUCCCCUAGCCCCUAGCCACUACGAUGACCUGAACUAGGGAACAUGAUACUCACACACACUUACACACAGUUUUUGAUAAUGAUUGAUUUGAUGAGUCCUUAUGUGAUCUCUAGUUUCCACUAUUUCAAGGUAUAUGAACAUGAUGAGACACUCUCCGUUGAAUGUACAUGCAUAUCAGGGGCACAAUAGAUUACAUUUGUCAUGGCACAUUGUUGCACAGUGAAAAGUGAGUGUUCUUGUGAUUAAAUGUAGUGUUUGUAUGUGGAUGUGAGUUGGAGCAAGAAUGUUUUUAUUUUACUAUGCAGUUCACUGUCAUUGUGUUAUUGAAUACUCUCGUGUGUGUAUACAUGAGAUUUGGGUUUAAAGUGACGCAUGCGUGGGUGAAUGCUGAACAGAUUGCAUGUAUGUGAAUGGGAUGUUGCAAAUAUUUUGUUUCCUAGUGGCACAUGUAUACAUUAGGUUAAUCUGUGCAAUGUCCUCUACUGGUUUUAAAGGGUGUCUUUGCUUCAUAUCAUCUUGCUAAUGUUACUGCAACCUGUUGUCUUCUGCAAGUGAAGCUACUACUCAUACUCUCUCUUGACAAUGUCAUGCUAAAUAAUGGACUCACAUUGUGCUACCGACAGCUUUCUGCCAAAUCUGUGAAUACACAAUCUUUUGCUUUUUAGGUCUCUUUUGAAGUUAAUAUUCUUGUUUGUUGUCAUUGAUAAUAUUUCUUGUUUGAUACUUUAUUUAUUUAGUUUAGUGUCAAUGUAAUUUUUUAUUUAUUUUUUUAUUUAAUCAUGGCUUUUUGACCUCUUGGUCUUUAAUGUAUGCAUUUCUUGGAUUACAAAGUUUAAAUUGCUGAGA
Molecule: RNA transcript, 2069 nt
Organism: Carassius carassius (crucian carp)
Lineage: Eukaryota; Metazoa; Chordata; Actinopteri; Cypriniformes; Cyprinidae
Gene name: ataxin-7-like protein 3
Exons: 13
Source: RefSeq, a predicted model, not a curated record